RNAcentral lists this ribosomal RNA (468 nucleotides) under uncultured bacterium. RNAcentral's name for it is "partial 16S ribosomal RNA". It matches the Rfam family "Bacterial small subunit ribosomal RNA", at positions 28 to 507 of the family's 1533-position model. The record is from RNAcentral.
GACGAACGCUGGCGGCGUGCUUAACACAUGCAAGUCGAACGGAAAGGCCCUGCUUUUGUGGGGUGCUCGAGUGGCGAACGGGUGAGUAACACGUGAGUAACCUGCCCUUGACUUUGGGAUAACUUCAGGAAACUGGGGCUAAUACCGGAUAGGAGCUCCUGCUGCAUGGUGGGGGUUGGAAAGUUUCGGCGGUUGGGGAUGGACUCGCGGCUUAUCAGCUUGUUGGUGGGGUAGUGGCUUACCAAGGCUUUGACGGGUAGCCGGCCUGACAGGGUGACCGGCCACAUUGGGACUGAGAUACGGCCCAGACUCCUACGGGAGGCAGCAGUGGGGAAUACUGCACAAUGGGCGGAAGCCUGAUGCAGCAACGCCGCGUGCGGGAUGACGGCCUUCGGGUUGUAAACCGCUUUCGCCUGUGACGAAGCGUGAGUGACGGUAAUGGGUAAAGAAGCACCGGCUAACUACGUG